UUCCCUACUCCUACGGGAGGCAGCAGUAGGGAAUCUUCCGCAAUGGACGAAAGUCUGACGGAGCAACGCCGCGUGAGCGAUGAAGGCCUUCGGGUCGUAAAGCUCUGUUGUCAGGGAAGAACAAGUACCGGAGUAACUGCCGGUACCUUGACGGUACCUGACCAGAAAGCCACGGCUAACUACGUGCCAGCAGCCGCGGUAAUACGUAGGUGGCAAGCGUUGUCCGGAAUUAUUGGGCGUAAAGCGCGCGCAGGCGGUUCCUUAAGUCUGAUGUGAAAGCCCCCGGCUCAACCGGGGAGGGUCAUUGGAAACUGGGGAACUUGAGUGCAGAAGAGGAGAGCGGAAUUCCACGUGUAGCGGUGAAAUGCGUAGAGAUGUGGAGGAACACCAGUGGCGAAGGCGGCUCUCUGGUCUGUAACUGACGCUGAGGCGCGAAAGCGUGGGGAGCGAACAGGAUUAGAUACCCUGGUAGUCCACGCCGUAAACGAUGAGUGCUAAGUGUUAGAGGGUUUCCGCCCUUUAGUGCUGCAGCAAACGCAUUAAGCACUCCGCCUGGGGAGUACGGCCGCAAGGCUGAAACUCAAAGGAAUUGACGGGGGCCCGCACAAGCGGUGGAGCAUGUGGUUUAAUUCGAAGCAACGCGAAGAACCUUACCAGGUCUUGACAUCCUCUGACAACCCU
Molecule: ribosomal RNA, 681 nt
Filed under: Bacillus sp. (in: firmicutes)
Lineage: Bacteria; Bacillati; Bacillota; Bacilli; Caryophanales; Bacillaceae
Description: bacterial SSU rRNA
Rfam family: Bacterial small subunit ribosomal RNA
Source: RNAcentral